Molecule: ribosomal RNA, 708 nt
Filed under: Triticum aestivum (bread wheat)
Lineage: Eukaryota; Viridiplantae; Streptophyta; Magnoliopsida; Poales; Poaceae
Description: partial small subunit ribosomal RNA
Source: RNAcentral
AUGGAGGCUGCCGUCAUUCUUCUGGAUCCUGAGCAUCACGUCGACGAAGUCUUUUUCCUCGUCGCCGGCGUGCUGGUGCUUGUCGAUGAUUCGGUCCAUGACCCGGCUCCCGAACCCGGUGGCCAGCCUGACGCCCUCGCCGAGGCGCUCCAGGAAUUCGCCGCGGAGGUCGUCCCCGAUUCGGUCGCCCACCAGGGCGCGCACCGCCACGUCGAUGAUGUAGGUGGAGAGGAGGGAGCUGACGUUCACAGGCCCCGACGCCGAGGCGAUGGAGGCGACGAGGGCGGCAACGCCGGCCUCGCGGGAUCCGCGGAGGGACUGGACCGGCCGCGCGCCGAGGAGCUCGGUGACGCCGAGCUUGCGGGCGUGCCGCCAGUGCUCUCCGUGCGGCGCCAGGGCGAUGCCGGCGCCGUCCACCGUGAGCGCGCGGAUGGUGGGCGUCUGCAUGCGGGUGGCGAAGACCGCGUCCUGGGUCUUGAGGAUCUCCCUCGCCGCGUCAGCGGAGGAGGCCACGACGACGUCGAGCUCCCCCAGGCGGAGCAGUAUGAGCGGGGCGUCGUACCGGCGGGCGAGGUCGCGCAUGAAGCGGUGCGGCAGCCUGCCGACCAGGUGGUGCAGGCUGCCGAUGACCGGCAGCCGCCAUGGCCCCGGAGGAAGGUUCUCCCCGCGCGGCCGCCUGAGCCUCUUGAGGAGGAGGAGAGGGAGUAG